UUGUUCCCUAAUUCAAAAGUUUUUAUGUAGUGUGGAUGUCAUUUCUUCAUCCCAUAAUUUCAGCUGUAUAUUAUUUUAGACUUUCAGUACAUAUUUAAAUGUAACCUACUCCUCAAGCUUAACUUCCUGGAUGUUUGUUCUAACAUCAGUUUGACUCCUCAUCAAUGUCAAUCGAAUGACAACAAAAGUUUAUAUUAUAAUCAACUGUUGUUUCGUCAUGCAGGUUGCGGAUUAUUGUCGUAAAUGUGUUCAUCUGGCAUUAGUUAUGGAGUUAAAACUUUGAAAACAUGAUUUGGUAGACGGAAGUGCUAGGUAUACCCAUCAGGUGCAGUGGGAGAAGGUCUUUACUAAUUGCUUUCUCAGGGUUGAUGAUGAAGUUGGGGAAAAGGUGAACAUGGAUCUCUGUGAUGACAACAUAAAUACCUCUAGCUACACCUCUGAACCUAAGACUGUUGGGUCCACUGCGGUUGUAGCGGUCAUUUGUUCAUCUCAUAUUAUAGUUGCUAACUAUGGGGAUUUAAGAGCAUUCCUUUACCAUGGCAAAGAAGUCAAGCAGAGAAGAUGAGUAUGCCAGAAUUAAAGCAUCUGGUGGCAAGGUCAUUCAAUGGAAUGGACAUCGUGUAUUUGGCAUUCUUACAAUGUCAAGAUUUAUUGCAUGGCAGUGACUGGGCUGAUGUUCAUGGUUGCAAUGGGGUUCAAUGCUGCUACUAGGACAUUAAAUUUGAAUGUCAACUUCAAGUAAGGCAGAGACCAUGCUGAUGAAUCUCUGCAUAGUAUAAACCCUUCAGUUGAAUCCCUUUUAAUGCGAAAAUACUGGUAUAUGUAAAUACUUAAAGCUGCUUUAAAAUGUCUAAGUUUGGAUAGAACAUAGGUGCCACCGAUACUUUACGCACGCAUACCCAUAGAGCAUUUUUUUGGGUACUUUACUGAAUUUGAAAGAGGAUGAUUUUAUUUUUUGCAGAUUGUUUGGUAUGCCAACCUCCUUCUCGUACACCCUUCCUGACCAAUAUAUUUUUGCUUAAAAGUUGAUAAGUAUGAAAAUGUAGUAUAUUAACUAUGGAAAAGUUGGACCUCACUUGGUCUUGUGGUGAUAUUAUGAUUGAUGAGGUAUUAAAUGCAUCUCCAAUUUCGCUGCUUUCGAAAGAUGUCUUACAAGUUGUCUGAUUACUUUUCUAUCUAGGAUUAUAAGAUUAAACUAAUAAACUCUGUGAUCAACCAUACGAAAGGUGAAACUUACGACGGUGCCGUUGUCUCAGGUAUUACUGUUUCUUUAUUAUUACUUCAUGACUUGUUCUCAUGAAGUAUCCCAUGACUUGUAUAAUUGUUCCUGUUCUCUUUUACAGUUUAGAUGUGCUAGCUACAUGAUUAUAGUAAGAAAAAUACUAAUAUUAAUACUAAUAAACAUGUGCAAAACUGUGGAGGAGAACCAAUAAUCUGUUCUCUACUGAAAUCAUAAGGAAAAAACUAAAAUCAAGUGACUGUAGGCUUGUUUGAAUUCAAUUCUCAGUAACACUCUGAUUCUAAAUUAGUUCUCGUUUGAUUUAAGCUCUUUCAAAGUGAAAGUGUAUUCCUAUCAACAUUAUGUAUCUUCUGAACCUGCAAAAAUGAAUAAUUGACGCGAGUUAGGUAUAUUUGGAAGUGUAUAAAAAAUUCAUAUCAUGUCAUUUCAUGUAUUGUAACUAACCUAAUAUCUCUUUAUAGAUAAUUUUUUAGGUGUAUGUCCCUUUUCUUGGUUUAGGCUGUUCCGUCAUGACCAAAACCUUUGUUGUUGUCAUUGAUAUUCCCCUUGAAAGUGCAACAUAUAACUGACCAUGUGAAAAAAUGUGUUGUGACAAGUACAGUGCAACAAUUGGUAUUAUUUGUCCUUGUGCUUUGUUUAUCAUCAUUGAAAAGCAUAAUCGCACUGGAAAUUGUUUUCUAAUGAAUUUGAAUGGGUAACCUUCAUUUUUAGGAGGUGAUAGCUGAAUUCGUGGAAUAAAGACAUUCUUGAAAGUAUUUUGGCCCAUCAUUAUUUCUACAUAUAUGACAUUAUUGUCAAAACCUCUGCAUAUCAUUCUUGUGACAUUGUACAAGCCGUUGGAAACAUCUAAAUUUAUCAGUAACAUGAUAGGCACAUUUUUUUCAAUACCAAUUUGCAUAUAAGUGAAAGAUAUUUUAAUAAGAAAUUUCACUUAAGAGAGAUAUUCAAUUAUGAUUGAAGGUUUAUGACCAGAAGUUUGAAACCAAAUAUAUUUCAUGGUAAAGAUUUAUCAAUUUAUUUCACUGUAAAUUUCUGCCAGUUAAAACAAAUUAAAAUAUAUUCCAGGAUAACCAAUGUCUUAUGAUCUUUAUAUUUUAAGGCUUUAUCAUUUGUACACGGACAUUUAGAUCAAUUUGUAUUAUCUUAUAUGUUAUAACACUUUUUGCUCAUUAUGACUAUUUCAUUACACUUCAGAUCAUGGUCCCUGAGAAUUAUAAAGAAUUUAUCAAUACUCUGGCUUCUCUAGUGAAAGGCAAUAUUGUUUCUAUGAGUAGAAUCGAUUAUGCUGUGAAGCGGAUACUGGGAGUCUGAUCCAUGCUUGGCAAAACAAUUCGAUAUCCAGGUAAAAGAAUGUGACUUUAAUUUCUCAAUAAUCUUUCAGUAGCUUGGUUUUAUCCUAUAUUGCUCGAGCAUUAAAACAUAUCUAAUUGUUGUUAUUAGACAGAAUUUUGAUUCUAAAAUACAAUUGUGUACUACUAAAUAUGGAAGAAGAUACCUAUGUGGAGGCAAACCGUUUGGUGUUAGAGUAUUUAAGUAAUCUUCAUGAUAGUAGUUGUUGGUGUCAUCCUCUGCAGAGUCAAAACUAAGAAAUGUUAUACUUUCACCAGGAAAUCUGAAAAUUAACAUUUUAUUUAGCCGAUCAACAUAUUCAUUUCUGCUAGCUAGGAUAGCAUGUUCAGUCAUGUAUUUUGCAGAAUCAACAUUUUUAUCUAGCUCUGGAAAUAUUUGCUCUAUUAAAGCAUCUGUUCCAGUACCGUCACUCUUAGUUUCAAUAACAAUUUGUUUUGGAAGUAGUACUAAAUCAUCUUUUAUUGUAGGCUCUUCCCCGUUACCUAUGCGUAGUAAAAGUUCACUGAA
This is a long non-coding RNA of Capsicum annuum, 3097 nucleotides long. RefSeq lists it as uncharacterized. The record is from RefSeq and is a predicted model, not a curated record. Lineage: Eukaryota; Viridiplantae; Streptophyta; Magnoliopsida; Solanales; Solanaceae. The transcript has 3 exons.